This 674-nucleotide ribosomal RNA is filed under the name Lactobacillus delbrueckii subsp. lactis. Its description in RNAcentral is "bacterial SSU rRNA". It matches the Rfam family "Bacterial small subunit ribosomal RNA", at positions 57 to 701 of the family's 1533-position model. The record is from RNAcentral. Lineage: Bacteria; Bacillati; Bacillota; Bacilli; Lactobacillales; Lactobacillaceae.
GCAGUCGAGCGAGCUGAAUUCAAAGAUCCCUUCGGGGUGAUUUGUUGGACGCUAGCGGCGGAUGGGUGAGUAACACGUGGGCAAUCUGCCCUAAAGACUGGGAUACCACUUGGAAACAGGUGCUAAUACCGGAUAACAACAUGAAUCGCAUGAUUCAAGUUUGAAAGGCGGCGCAAGCUGUCACUUUAGGAUGAGCCCGCGGCGCAUUAGCUAGUUGGUGGGGUAAAGGCCUACCAAGGCAAUGAUGCGUAGCCGAGUUGAGAGACUGAUCGGCCACAUUGGGACUGAGACACGGCCCAAACUCCUACGGGAGGCAGCAGUAGGGAAUCUUCCACAAUGGACGCAAGUCUGAUGGAGCAACGCCGCGUGAGUGAAGAAGGUCUUCGGAUCGUAAAGCUCUGUUGUUGGUGAAGAAGGAUAGAGGCAGUAACUGGUCUUUAUUUGACGGUAAUCAACCAGAAAGUCACGGCUAACUACGUGCCAGCAGCCGCGGUAAUACGUAGGUGGCAAGCGUUGUCCGGAUUUAUUGGGCGUAAAGCGAGCGCAGGCGGAAUGAUAAGUCUGAUGUGAAAGCCCACGGCUCAACCGUGGAACUGCAUCGGAAACUGUCAUUCUUGAGUGCAGAAGAGGAGAGUGGAACUCCAUGUGUAGCGGUGGAAUGCGUAGAUAUAUGG